This 465-nucleotide ribosomal RNA is filed under the name Vreelandella stevensii. RNAcentral describes it as "partial 16S ribosomal RNA". It matches the Rfam family "Bacterial small subunit ribosomal RNA", at positions 338 to 795 of the family's 1533-position model. Lineage: Bacteria; Pseudomonadati; Pseudomonadota; Gammaproteobacteria; Oceanospirillales; Halomonadaceae. The record is from RNAcentral.
CCUACGGGUGGCUGCAGUGGGGAAUAUUGGACAAUGGGCGAAAGCCUGAUCCAGCCAUGCCGCGUGUGUGAAGAAGGCCUUCGGGUUGUAAAGCACUUUCAGUGGGGAAGAAAGCCUUGGGGCUAAUACCCUCGAGGAAGGACAUCACCCACAGAAGAAGCACCGGCUAACUCCGUGGCAGCAGCCGCGGUAAUACGGAGGGUGCGAGCGUUAAUCGGAAUUACUGGGCGUAAAGCGCGCGUAGGCGGUCUGAUAAGCCGGUUGUGAAAGCCCCGGGCUCAACCUGGGAACGGCAUCCGGAACUGUCAGGCUAGAGUGCAGGAGAGGAAGGUAGAAUUCCCGGUGUAGCGGUGAAAUGCGUAGAGAUCGGGAGGAAUACCAGUGGCGAAGGCGGCCUUCUGGACUGACACUGACGCUGAGGUGCGAAAGCGUGGGUAGCAAACAGGAUUAGAUACCCCAGUAGUC